AGUGAACGCUGGCGGUAGGCCUAACACAUGCAAGUCGAACGGCAGCACAGGAGAGCUUGCUCUCUGGGUGGCGAGUGGCGGACGGGUGAGGAAUACAUCGGAAUCUACUCUGUCGUGGGGGAUAACGUAGGGAAACUUACGCUAAUAUCGCAUACGACCUACGGGUGAAAGCAGGGGACCUUCGGGCCUUGCGCGAUUGAAUGAGCCGAGGUCGGAUUAGCUUGUUGGCGGGGUAAAGGCCCAACAAGGCGACGAUCCGUAGCUGGUCUGAGAGGAUGAUCAGCCACACUGGAACUGAGACACGGUCCAGACUCCUACGGGAGGCAGCAGUGGGGAAUAUUGGACAAUGGGCGCAAGCCUGAUCCAGCCAUACCGCGUGGGUGAAGAAGGCCUUCGGGUUGUAAAGCCCUUUUGUUGGGAAAGAAAUCCAGCUGGCUAAUACCCGGUUGGGAUGACGGUACCCAAAGAAUAAGCACCGGCUAACUUCGUGCCAGCAGCCGCAGUAA
Molecule: ribosomal RNA, 506 nt
Filed under: uncultured bacterium
Lineage: Bacteria
Description: partial 16S ribosomal RNA
Rfam family: Bacterial small subunit ribosomal RNA
Source: RNAcentral